This is an RNA transcript of Pan troglodytes (chimpanzee), 4620 nucleotides long. It is a transcript of the gene named isoleucyl-tRNA synthetase 1, with no coding region annotated. The record is from RefSeq and is a predicted model, not a curated record. NCBI's taxonomy places the organism in Eukaryota, Metazoa, Chordata, Mammalia, Primates, Hominidae. The transcript is spliced from 35 exons.
GUCUCCUUCACUGGAUUCCGCAUUUUCAGCGCGUUGCAUCACCUCCGUGCGCGCGGUUGCAGCGUGGACGCCGGAUGAGUUGCUUCUAGGCUUGCUGGCCCGCGGGGCUGUCCAGGCACGCGAGGCCCCUCAGGUACGCCCUCUCUUCCCUGCAGGAUCCGGCCCUCAAAGACGAGGGUCACGCACGCGUUACAACCCCGAAACAGUAGCACAAGAUUUAAUUUUUAAAAGAGCGUGUUUCUUCGGGGCUUGCCGUUCGUUCGUUUCCAGCCUCAGGAAUUUAUGGUCGCCUUUUUGAAUGAGCAACAAAAUGCUUCAACAAGUUCCAGAAAACAUAAAUUUUCCUGCUGAAGAAGAGAAAAUCUUGGAGUUUUGGACUGAAUUUAAUUGUUUUCAGGAAUGCUUAAAGCAAUCAAAACAUAAACCAAAAUUUACCUUCUAUGAUGGUCCUCCUUUUGCAACUGGACUGCCUCACUAUGGACAUAUACUUGCGGGUACAAUUAAAGAUAUAGUUACAAGAUAUGCUCACCAGAGUGGGUUUCAUGUUGACAGAAGAUUUGGAUGGGAUUGCCAUGGCUUACCUGUGGAAUAUGAAAUUGAUAAGACACUGGGAAUCAGAGGACCAGAGGAUGUGGCCAAAAUGGGGAUUACAGAGUAUAACAAUCAGUGCCGAGCAAUUGUGAUGAGAUAUUCUGCUGAGUGGAAGUCUACUGUUAGCAGACUUGGCCGAUGGAUUGACUUUGACAAUGACUAUAAAACUCUGUAUCCACAAUUCAUGGAAUCAGUCUGGUGGGUCUUCAAACAACUCUAUGAUAAAGGCCUUGUUUAUAGAGGUGUGAAAGUCAUGCCCUUCUCUACGGCAUGUAACACUCCACUUUCCAACUUCGAGUCACACCAGAAUUAUAAGGAUGUUCAAGAUCCUUCAGUAUUUGUAACUUUCCCUUUGGAAGAAGAUGAAACUGUAUCUUUAGUUGCUUGGACAACCACUCCCUGGACUCUACCUAGUAACCUUGCUGUGUGUGUUAAUCCAGAAAUACAAUAUGUGAAAAUUAAAGAUGUUGCCAGAGGACGAUUACUCAUUUUAAUGGAAGCCAGAUUGUCAGCCCUCUAUAAAUUGGAGAGUGACUAUGAGAUCCUUGAAAGAUUUCCUGGUGCCUAUCUUAAAGGCAAGAAGUACAGGCCCCUGUUUGACUAUUUCCUGAAGUGUAAAGAGAAUGGCGCUUUCACUGUGCUUGUUGACAACUAUGUGAAGGAAGAAGAAGGCACAGGGGUUGUCCACCAAGCUCCUUACUUCGGUGCUGAGGACUAUCGGGUCUGUAUGGACUUUAACAUUAUUCGGAAAGACUCACUCCCCGUUUGCCCUGUGGAUGCUUCAGGCUGCUUCACAACGGAGGUGACAGAUUUCGCAGGACAGUACGUGAAGGAUGCUGACAAAAGUAUCAUCAGGACUUUGAAGGAACAAGGCCGACUUCUGGUUGCCACCACCUUCACUCACAGCUACCCUUUUUGCUGGAGAUCAGACACUCCUCUAAUUUACAAAGCAGUGCCCAGCUGGUUUGUGCGAGUGGAGAACAUGGUGGACCAGCUCCUAAGGAACAAUGACCUGUGCUACUGGGUCCCAGAGUUGGUACGAGAAAAACGAUUUGGAAAUUGGCUGAAAGAUGCACGUGACUGGACAAUUUCCAGAAACAGAUACUGGGGCACCCCCAUCCCACUGUGGGUCAGCGAUGACUUUGAGGAGGUGGUAUGCGUUGGGUCAGUGGCGGAACUUGAAGAACUGUCAGGAGCAAAGAUCUCAGAUCUCCACAGAGAGAGUGUUGACCACCUGACCAUUCCUUCACGCUGUGGGAAGGGAUCCUUGCACCGCAUCUCUGAAGUGUUUGACUGUUGGUUUGAGAGUGGCAGCAUGCCCUAUGCUCAGGUUCAUUACCCGUUUGAAAACAAGAGGGAGUUUGAGGAUGCUUUUCCUGCAGAUUUCAUUGCCGAGGGCAUCGACCAAACCAGAGGAUGGUUUUAUACCCUGCUGGUGCUGGCCACAGCCCUCUUUGGACAACCGCCUUUCAAGAACGUAAUUGUGAAUGGGCUCAUCCUGGCAAGUGAUGGCCAAAAAAUGAGCAAACGGAAAAAGAAUUAUCCAGACCCAGUUUCCAUCAUCCAGAAGUAUGGUGCUGAUGCCCUCAGAUUAUAUCUGAUUAACUCCCCUGUGGUGAGAGCAGAAAACCUCCGCUUUAAAGAAGAGGGUGUGCGGGACGUCCUUAAGGAUGUACUGCUCCCAUGGUACAAUGCCUAUCGCUUCUUAAUCCAGAACGUUCUGAGGCUCCAGAAGGAGGAAGAAAUAGAAUUUCUCUACAAUGAGAACACGGUUAGAGAAAGCCCCAACAUUACAGACCGGUGGAUCCUGUCCUUCAUGCAGUCUCUCAUUGGCUUCUUUGAGACUGAAAUGGCAGCUUAUAGGCUUUAUACUGUGGUGCCUCGCCUGGUCAAGUUUGUAGAUAUUCUGACCAAUUGGUAUGUUAGAAUGAACCGCAGAAGAUUAAAGGGUGAAAAUGGGAUGGAGGAUUGUGUCAUGGCCCUAGAAACCUUGUUUAGUGUUCUGCUUUCUCUUUGCAGACUUAUGGCUCCCUACACACCUUUUCUCACUGAAUUGAUGUACCAGAAUCUAAAGGUGCUGAUUGACCCUGUUUCUGUUCAGGACAAGGACACACUCAGCAUUCACUACCUCAUGCUGCCCCAUGUUCGAGAAGAAUUGAUUGACAAGAAAACAGAGAGUGCAGUAUCUCAGAUGCAGUCUGUGAUUGAACUUGGAAGAGUGAUCAGAGACCGAAAAACUAUUCCCAUAAAGUAUCCUUUGAAAGAAAUUGUGGUUAUCCAUCAAGAUCCAGAAGCUCUUAAAGAUAUCAAGUCUUUGGAGAAGUAUAUCAUUGAGGAACUCAAUGUUCGAAAAGUUACACUGUCUACAGAUAAAAACAAGUAUGGCAUUCGGCUAAGGGCAGAACCAGAUCACAUGGUCCUGGGGAAGCGUCUGAAGGGAGCCUUUAAGGCAGUGAUGACGUCCAUCAAGCAGUUGAGCAGUGAGGAGCUGGAGCAGUUCCAGAAGACUGGGACCAUUGUUGUGGAAGGCCAUGAAUUGCACGAUGAAGACAUCCGCCUCAUGUACACCUUUGAUCAGGCCACAGGUGGGACUGCGCAAUUUGAAGCACACUCAGAUGCUCAGGCUUUGGUCCUCUUAGAUGUCACUCCUGACCAGUCAAUGGUAGAUGAAGGAAUGGCUCGGGAAGUCAUCAAUCGCAUACAGAAACUUCGCAAAAAGUGCAAUCUGGUUCCAACUGAUGAAAUCACAGUGUACUAUAAAGCAAAGUCUGAAGGAACAUAUCUGAAUAGUGUUAUUGAAAGCCACACAGAGUUCAUAUUUACCACCAUAAAGGCUCCCUUGAAACCAUAUCCAGUUUCUCCAUCGGAUAAAGUCCUUAUUCAAGAAAAAACACAGUUGAAGGGAUCUGAACUGGAAAUUACACUCACCAGAGGAUCUUCCCUUCCUGGUCCUGCUUGUGCAUAUGUCAAUCUUAACAUUUGUGCAAAUGGCAGUGAACAAGGCGAGAUGCAGUGGAUCAUUCCUGAAAUCCUACCGCUUUUGGAAGCCAAGGUGGAGUAUUGCUUCUGGAAAAUCCAAAAGGUGACAAUAGGUUGGACCUUUUAAAGCUGAAGAGUGUUGUCACUAGCAUUUUUGGUGUGAAAAAUACAGAGCUGGCUGUCUUCCAUGAUGAAACAGAAAUACAAAACCAAACUGACUUACUGAGUCUUAGUGGAAAAACACUUUGUGUGACUGCAGGAUCGGCUCCCUCUCUGAUCAACAGUUCUAGUACUCUUCUUUGUCAGUAUAUCAACCUACAGCUCCUGAAUGCAGAGCCACAAGAGUGUUUAAUGGGGACAGUGGGCACUCUCCUGCUUGAAAACCCACUUGGGCAGAAUGGACUCACCCACCAAGGUCUUCUGUAUGAAGCAGCCAAGGUGUUUGGCCUUCGGAGCAGGAAGCUAAAGCUGUUUCUGAAUGAGACCCAAACGCAGGAAAUUACAGAAGACAUCCCCGUGAAGACUUUGAAUAUGAAGACUGUGUAUGUUUCUGUAUUACCAACAACAGCAGACUUCUAGCAUGUACUUAUCAAUGUUGUUCGGUCAGCCCUUCCCUAAUUACACCUAUCCCCUACACAUACAUGCACAUAGACACACACAUGAACACACUGAAGAUAUUUCCUUCAGGUGUGUGUAAAAUAUGCUGCUUGGAUUGAAAUUCAAAUGGGAUUGAUUAGUCAAGUAACUUCAGACCUCACAGUAAUCUUCACACUUAACCUUGGACACCUAUGCAGUCAUGUUGGGAGCAGGUUACAAUGUUACUUCAGCCCACAGUUUAUUUCUAUACUUGAGUUCUUAAGUACAGAAGAUAGAAGUGAUUUAAAUGGCAUAGUAUAUAUAUCAUUUUCUGGCCUUUUAAAAUUUAUUUGAGACCUCUUGAUGAAAUGGACAUAUUAUAUAUUUCUGCCACCUGGAUUUUCCUGGAUAAUUUGAUGGAAUAUUUUAAGUUUCAGUAAAUCAGAACAAUAAACAAACUCACUCAGAUAUAAA